GACGAACGCUGGCGGCGUGCUUAACACAUGCAAGUCGAACGGAAAGGCCCUGCUUUUGUGGGGUGCUCGAGUGGCGAACGGGUGAGUAACACGUGAGUAACCUGCCCUUGACUUUGGGAUAACUUCAGGAAACUGGGGCUAAUACCGGAUAGGAGCUCCUGCUGCAUGGUGGGGGUUGGAAAGUUUCGGCGGUUGGGGAUGGACUCGCGGCUUAUCAGCUUGUUGGUGGGGUAGUGGCUUACCAAGGCUUUGACGGGUAGCCGGCCUGAGAGGGUGACCGGCCACAUGGGGACUGAGUUACGGCCAGACUCCUACGGGAGGCAGCAGUGGGGAAUAUUGCACAAUGGGCGGAAGCCUGAUGCAGCAACGCCGCGUGCGGGAUGACGGCCUUCGGGUUGUAAACCGCUUUCGCCUGUGACGAAGCGUGAGUGACGGUAAUGGGUAAAGAAGCACCGGCUAACUACGUG
This 467-nucleotide ribosomal RNA is filed under the name uncultured bacterium. Its description in RNAcentral is "partial 16S ribosomal RNA". It matches the Rfam family "Bacterial small subunit ribosomal RNA", at positions 28 to 507 of the family's 1533-position model. The record is from RNAcentral.